UACGGGGGGGGCAAGCGUUGUUCGGAAUUACUGGGCGUAAAGGGUUCGUAGGUGGCUUGCUCAGUCAGACGUGAAAUCCCUCAGCUUAACUGGGGAACUGCGUCUGAUACUAGCGAGCUUGAGUGCAGGAGAGGAACGCGGAAUUCCAGGUGUAGCGGUGAAAUGCGUAGAUAUCUGGAGGAACACCGGUGGCGAAGGCGGCGUUCUGGACUGCAACUGACACUGAGGAACGAAAGCCAGGGGAGCAAACGGG
This 253-nucleotide ribosomal RNA is filed under the name uncultured bacterium. RNAcentral describes it as "partial 16S ribosomal RNA". It matches the Rfam family "Bacterial small subunit ribosomal RNA", at positions 524 to 776 of the family's 1533-position model. The record is from RNAcentral.